AUUGAACGCUGGCGGCAUGCCUAACACAUGCAAGUCGAACGGUAACAGGUCUUCGGAUGCUGACGAGUGGCGGACGGGUGAGUAAUGCGUAGGAAUCUGUCUUAUAGUGGGGGACAACCCAGGGAAACUUGGGCUAAUACCGCAUGAGCCCUGAGGGGGAAAGCGGGGGAUCUCCGGACCUCGCGCUAAGGGAGGAGCCUACGUCUGAUUAGCUAGUUGGUAGGGUAAAGGCCUACCAAGGCGACGAUCAGUAGCUGGUCUGAGAGGACGACCAGCCACACUGGGACUGAGACACGGCCCAGACUCCUACGGGAGGCAGCAGUGGGGAAUUUUUCGCAAUGGGGGCAACCCUGACGAAGCAAUGCCGCGUGGAUGAAGAAGGCCUUCGGGUUGUAAAGUCCUUUCGUGGAGGACGAAAAGGCGGGUUCUAAUACAAUCUGCUGUUGACGUGAAUCCAAGAAGAAGCACCGGCUAACUCCGUGCCAGCAGCCGCGGUAAUACGGGGGGUGCAAGCGUUAAUCGGAAUCACUGGGCGUAAAGGGUGCGUAGGCGGUACGUUAGGUCUGUCGUGAAAUCCCCGGGCUCAACCUGGGAAUGGCGGUGGAAACCGGCGGACUAGAGUAUGGGAGAGGGUGGUGGAAUUCCAGGUGUAGCGGUGAAAUGCGUAGAGAUCUGGAGGAACAUCAGUGGCGAAGGCGGCCACCUGGCCCAAUACUGACGCUGAGGCACGAAAGCGUGGGGAGCAAACAGGAUAGAUACCCUGGUAGUCCACGCCCUAAACGAUGAAUACUAGAUGUUUGGUGCCACGCGUACUGAGUGUCGUAGCUAACGCGAUAAGUAUUCCGCCUGGGAAGUACGGCCGCAAGGUUA
This 870-nucleotide ribosomal RNA is filed under the name uncultured bacterium. Its description in RNAcentral is "bacterial SSU rRNA". It matches the Rfam family "Bacterial small subunit ribosomal RNA", at positions 28 to 896 of the family's 1533-position model. The record is from RNAcentral.